CCGGCGACCGGCGCACGGGUGAGUAACACGUAUGCAACCUGGCCGUGACAGAUGGAUAACCGGGAGAAAUCCCGCCUAAUACAGCAUGACGCCGGGAAGGGACAUCCCUUUCCGGCCAAAGGGGGCGACUCCGGUCACGGAUGGGCAUGCGGCGCAUUAGGCAGUUGGUGGGGCAACGGCCCACCAAGCCGACGAUGCGUAGGGGUUCUGAGAGGAAGGUCCCCCACAUUGGAACUGAGACACGGUCCAAACUCCUACGGAAGGCAGCAG
Molecule: ribosomal RNA, 270 nt
Filed under: uncultured bacterium
Lineage: Bacteria
Description: partial 16S ribosomal RNA
Rfam family: Bacterial small subunit ribosomal RNA
Source: RNAcentral